GUGAAAACCUGAAGGCAUCGGAGUGAUGUGCACAUCAGAGACACACUGAUGUACAAUUAACACAUCCACGUGUUAGCAAUUAUGUAGGUGGAUAUAAAAUCAUGCGCAAAGUGAUGAGGAAAAUGGUAUUAACAAUGACGGCGUCAGCAUUGUUAGA
Molecule: long non-coding RNA, 157 nt
Organism: Thalassophryne amazonica
Lineage: Eukaryota; Metazoa; Chordata; Actinopteri; Batrachoidiformes; Batrachoididae
Exons: 3
Source: RefSeq, a predicted model, not a curated record